RNAcentral lists this ribosomal RNA (331 nucleotides) under uncultured eukaryote. RNAcentral describes it as "partial 18S ribosomal RNA". It matches the Rfam family "Eukaryotic small subunit ribosomal RNA", at positions 1470 to 1796 of the family's 1831-position model. The record is from RNAcentral.
CCCUUAGAUGUUCUGGGCCGCACGCGCGCUACACUGUUCGACGCAGCGAGUCUUAACCUUGACCGAAAGGUUUGGGUAAUCUUCAGCAAAGUCGAACGUGAUGGGGAUCGAUCAUUGCAAUUAUUGAUCGUGAACGAGGAAUUCCUAGUAAGUGCAAGUCAUCAGCUUGCGCUGAUUACGUCCCUGCCCUUUGUACACACCGCCCGCCGCUACUACCGAUUGAAUGGUUUAGUGAGAUCUCUGGAUUGACGCUGGCUAGGGGGCGACCCUUGGCCAGACUGUUGAGAAACUGCUCAAACUUGAUCAUUUAGAGGAAGUAAAAGUCGUAACA